CCAAGACACCCAGAGGCAUACCGUCAAAACUAACUACCUCAGCCCAAAAAUAUGAACAUGUGACAAAGUCGAACAAGUCAGAACAUUUAUUUCAUAAGAUCAUUGAUGACUACAGGAAGUUUCGACUGGGUUCACGGACAGGAAUAAAAGAUAAGGAUAAUGCCAGGCAGGCAGCGAGUCAUGCACUCCGUUUUUGCCUCUAUAUGGCUACUGGGCUACCUCCAAAAAUGGUCUCAAUGGAUAUGAAGUUCCUUCUCCAGAUUGACAAAUUGCGCAUGUGGCCACUAUACCUCACCGAAAAGGGUUACCUCCCAACUACUGUAAGAAACAUGAUGACAAAUGUCACC
Limanda limanda (common dab) is the source of this 347-nucleotide long non-coding RNA. RefSeq lists it as uncharacterized. The record is from RefSeq and is a predicted model, not a curated record. NCBI's taxonomy places the organism in Eukaryota, Metazoa, Chordata, Actinopteri, Pleuronectiformes, Pleuronectidae. The transcript has 3 exons.